CCCCGCUUGCGGGGGGAUUAGUGGCGAACGGGUGAGUAACACGUGAGUAACCUGCCCUUAACUCUGGGAUAAGCCUGGGAAACUGGGUCUAAUACUGGAUAUUGACUUUUCACCGCAUGGUGUUUGGUUGAAAGAUUUAUUGGUUUUGGAUGGACUCGCGGCCUAUCAGCUUGUUGGUGGGGUAAUGGCCUACCAAGGCGACGACGGGUAGCCGGCCUGAGAGGGUGACCGGCCACACUGGGACUGAGACACGGCCCAGACUCCUACGGGAGGCAGCAGUGGGGAAUAUUGCACAAUGGGCGCAAGCCUGAUGCAGCGACGCCGCGUGAGGGAUGACGGCCUUCGGGUUGUAAACCUCUUUCAGUAGGGAACAAGGCCAUCUUUUGGGUGGUUGAGGGUACUUGCAGAAGAAGCGCCGGCUAACUACGUGCCAGCAGCCGCGGUAAUACGUAGGGCGCAAGCGUUAUCCGGAAUUAUUGGGCGUAAAGAGCUCGUAGGCGGUUUGUCGCGUCUGCCGUGAAAGUCCGGGGCUCAACUCCGGAUCUGCGGUGGGUACGGGCAGACUAGAGUGAUGUAGGGGAGACUGGAAUUCCUGGUGUA
This 600-nucleotide ribosomal RNA is filed under the name Arthrobacter livingstonensis. RNAcentral describes it as "bacterial SSU rRNA". It matches the Rfam family "Bacterial small subunit ribosomal RNA", at positions 74 to 677 of the family's 1533-position model. Lineage: Bacteria; Bacillati; Actinomycetota; Actinomycetes; Micrococcales; Micrococcaceae. The record is from RNAcentral.